RNAcentral lists this transfer RNA (73 nucleotides) under Felis catus (domestic cat). It matches the Rfam family "tRNA". From Rfam's summary of the family: Transfer RNA (tRNA) molecules are approximately 80 nucleotides in length. Lineage: Eukaryota; Metazoa; Chordata; Mammalia; Carnivora; Felidae. The record is from Rfam by way of RNAcentral.
GCCUGGCUGGCUCAGUCGGUAGAGCAUGUGACUCUUGGUCUUGGAAUCGUGAGUUUAGAUCCCAUGUUGGGCA